This 220-nucleotide unclassified non-coding RNA is filed under the name uncultured Actinomycetes bacterium. RNAcentral's name for it is "uncultured actinobacterium contains 16S-23S intergenic spacer region". It matches the Rfam family "Bacterial small subunit ribosomal RNA", at positions 977 to 1197 of the family's 1533-position model. The record is from RNAcentral. Lineage: Bacteria; Bacillati; Actinomycetota; Actinomycetes.
AGGGCUUGACAUGCAGGGUGAAACCGGUGAAAGCCGGUGCUCCUUCGGGAGCCUGCACAGGUGCUGCAUGGCUGUCGUCAGCUCGUGCCGUGAGGUGUUGCCUUAAGUGGCGCAACGAGCGCAACCCCUGUCCAAUGUUGCCAGCGGGUAAUGCCGGGGACUCAUUGGAGACUGCCGGUGCCAAACCGGAGGAAGGUGGGGAUGACGUGUCGUUACCUUA